Molecule: ribosomal RNA, 484 nt
Filed under: uncultured bacterium
Lineage: Bacteria
Description: partial 16S ribosomal RNA
Rfam family: Bacterial small subunit ribosomal RNA
Source: RNAcentral
AUUGAACGCUGGCGGCAUGCUUUACACAUGCCAGUCGAACGGCAGCGCGGGCUUCGGCCUGGCGGCGAGUGGCGAACGGGUGAGUAAUACAUCGGAACAUGCCCAGUAGUGGGGGAUAGCUCGGCGAAAGCCGGAUUAAUACCGCAUACGACCUGAGGGUGAAAGCGGGGGAUCUUCGGACCUCGCGCUAUUGGAGCGGCCGAUGGCAGAUUAGCUAGUUGGUGGGGUAAAGGCCUACCAAGGCGACGAUCUGUAGCUGGUCUGAGAGGACGACCAGCCACACUGGGACUGAGACACGGCCCAGACUCCUACGGGAGGCAGCAGUGGGGAAUUUUGGACAAUGGGCGAAAGCCUGAUCCAGCAAUGCCGCGUGUGUGAUGAAGGCCUUCGGGUUGUAAAGCACUUUUGGCGGGAACGAAAAGGACUGUGCCAAUACCACGGUUCGAUGACGGUACCCGCAGAAUAAGCACCGGCUAACUACGUG